This 383-nucleotide ribosomal RNA is filed under the name Delftia lacustris. Its description in RNAcentral is "bacterial SSU rRNA". It matches the Rfam family "Bacterial small subunit ribosomal RNA", at positions 75 to 462 of the family's 1533-position model. The record is from RNAcentral. Lineage: Bacteria; Pseudomonadati; Pseudomonadota; Betaproteobacteria; Burkholderiales; Comamonadaceae.
GGUCUUCGGACGCUGACGAGUGGCGAACGGGUGAGUAAUACAUCGGAACGUGCCCAGUCGUGGGGGAUAACUACUCGAAAGAGUAGCUAAUACCGCAUACGAUCUGAGGAUGAAAGCGGGGGACCUUCGGGCCUCGCGCGAUUGGAGCGGCCGAUGGCAGAUUAGGUAGUUGGUGGGAUAAAAGCUUACCAAGCCGACGAUCUGUAGCUGGUCUGAGAGGACGACCAGCCACACUGGGACUGAGACACGGCCCAGACUCCUACGGGAGGCAGCAGUGGGGAAUUUUGGACAAUGGGCGAAAGCCUGAUCCAGCAAUGCCGCGUGCAGGAUGAAGGCCUUCGGGUUGUAAACUGCUUUUGUACGGAACGAAAAAGCUCCUUCUA